CGGCAACAGCUCAAAUUUGAAAUCUGGCUCUUUCAGAGUCCGAGUUGUAAUUUGUAGAGGAUACUUUUGAUGCGGUGCCUUCCGAGUUCCCUGGAACGGGACGCCAUAGAGGGUGAGAGCCCCGUCUGGUUGGAUGCCAAAUCUCUGUAAAGUUCCUUCAAC
RNAcentral lists this ribosomal RNA (162 nucleotides) under Fusarium oxysporum. RNAcentral describes it as "partial large subunit ribosomal RNA". It matches the Rfam family "Eukaryotic large subunit ribosomal RNA", at positions 99 to 261 of the family's 3401-position model. Lineage: Eukaryota; Fungi; Ascomycota; Sordariomycetes; Hypocreales; Nectriaceae. The record is from RNAcentral.